Long non-coding RNA from Cyclopterus lumpus (lumpfish), 220 nucleotides. RefSeq lists it as uncharacterized. The record is from RefSeq and is a predicted model, not a curated record. The transcript has 3 exons. NCBI's taxonomy places the organism in Eukaryota, Metazoa, Chordata, Actinopteri, Perciformes, Cyclopteridae.
GUGAGGACAUGAGGAUGGGACUCACUUUAGUUUGUGUGCCGGGGCUUUUCUUGAUGAAUAUUCUCCUCUACUGUGGACACGCUCAAGAGACUUCGCUGUCCAUUGAUCCAAACAGGUCCACUUUCUUUACUGGAGAGUCUGUUACCUUCACAUGUGACGUGAGGAUGGGAGAACCUUUCAACAAUCCCAAACUCUGGGAUUGUUCAAUCAUUAGGAAUGG